UACGAAAGGUGCAAACGUUGUUCGGAAUCACUGGGCGUAAAGCGCACGUAGGCGGAUUUUUAAGUCGAUUGUGAAAUCCCAGGGCUUAACCUUGGAACUGCAGUCGAAACUGGAAGUCUUGAAUAUCUGAGAGGUUGGGGGAAUUCCUGGUGGAGAAGUGAAAUUCGUAGAUAUCAGGAGGAACACCGGAGGCGAAGGCGCCUGACUGGCAGAAUAUUGACGCUGAUGUGCGAAAGCGUGGGGAGCAAACAGG
This 253-nucleotide ribosomal RNA is filed under the name uncultured bacterium. RNAcentral describes it as "partial 16S ribosomal RNA". It matches the Rfam family "Bacterial small subunit ribosomal RNA", at positions 524 to 776 of the family's 1533-position model. The record is from RNAcentral.